GCGCUCGUAGCUCAAUUGGAUAGAGCGUCUGACUACGGAUCAGAAGGUUGUGGAUUCGAUUUCUGCCGGGCGCACCA
Molecule: transfer RNA, 77 nt
Filed under: Clostridiaceae bacterium
Lineage: Bacteria; Bacillati; Bacillota; Clostridia; Eubacteriales; Clostridiaceae
Description: tRNA-Arg
Rfam family: tRNA
About the family: Transfer RNA (tRNA) molecules are approximately 80 nucleotides in length.
Source: RNAcentral